This 67-nucleotide small nucleolar RNA is filed under the name Tetranychus urticae (two-spotted spider mite). RNAcentral describes it as "snoRNA tetur29g01785". Lineage: Eukaryota; Metazoa; Arthropoda; Arachnida; Trombidiformes; Tetranychidae. The record is from RNAcentral.
AAUCAAUGACGAUAAAUUGAUUCUUUACCAAAUCGAAAGUGCCGUGAUAAUUGAUCCCUUUUUGGUU